CGCGGCGGGAGGGGAGGGGCGGGGCGCGGAGGCAGAGCAGUUUCCGGGAGCGGUGGGUCCUGGGCGCUGGCAGCUCCCGAUGCGCGGAUCCCCGCUGGACAGGGUGAAGGCGCAGGCGACCUAGAGAGUCAGGGACUUUCUGCAGCUCUUUGCUGGUGGGUCUGGUCCUUCCGCCAGGAUCCCAGGAUGAAGACAAUGUGUGAGAGCUACAGCUGGCCUGGGGUCAACGUGUAAUGUGAGAAAUUAGUGAUGCAAGCCACCAAGAUUUGGGGGUGGUUUCUUAUUACAGCAAAAUGUAAUGAAAGCUGGCAGAUAGAAAAAUCAGCUCCGAGGUGAUGAGUGGAAGCAGAGACCUAAAUGAAGUGAGCUCCGCAAAUGACGGGGGUGUUUCAGGCACAGCAAAGAGCAAGUGCAAAGGCCCUGAGGCGGAAACCUGUGUGAUGACUGAGGACCAGCAAAGGGGCCAGCAUGGCUACAAUAGAAAGAGCGAUGGAGAGUGCAAGGAAUAGUUGGAGGAGAUAUGAAGGGGCCAAACAUUCCUGGGCCUCCUAGGCCGUGGAGAGAUGUUUAUGUUUCAUGGAGAUGACGAGACCUGAGAGAGUUUCGUGCUGAGGGUGUGCUUGGACUUGUGUUUUAAUAGGAUCCCUCCGUGGGGAACAGACUGGGGGUGGGGAGGGGGAGGGUUGACGUCAGCUGGGAAGCCACUGCCAUGGUCUCUGGUGUCAGAGGGAGGCUCAUUUCAGGGUGGUGGUGGGGGGGGGCGAGGGUGAGAGGUGGUUGGAUUCCACUGUGCUUUGAUGGGGGAGACCCAGGACGUUGCUUACAGCCUGGGGGUGGGGUAUGGAGUUGCCUCUUUCUCACCCAGGACCUCAGGCUCUGGCCCUCCGGAAGAGGGUGGUCCCUUUGAGGGAUGUGGGGGUGACAGGGCAGCAGCAGCAGGUGUGGAAGGAAGAGCAAGUUUGGUUUGGGACACGACAUCCGCUUGUUUCUCUGUGUCUCCCAGGCACAGGUCUAAACUGUUCAAGGGUCGGGCCGGUUCUAGGCACUGGUCUUCACGCGAUGGCUGACGUAUCUACUGAAAGAAAAAUAAGCGAGUGAAUAUCUCCAAUGGACCUGUUGAAGUUCCUCGGAGUCCGGCCAUGGGUUUCCACCUUCUGGAUGCAACUUCCUUACUCUUCCAUCCCAAUGUAGAAGAAUAAACAGUGGCAUUGUUCUGUCUCUU
Molecule: long non-coding RNA, 1222 nt
Organism: Phyllostomus discolor (pale spear-nosed bat)
Lineage: Eukaryota; Metazoa; Chordata; Mammalia; Chiroptera; Phyllostomidae
Exons: 2
Source: RefSeq, a predicted model, not a curated record